CCUACGGGAGGCUGCAGUGAGGAAUAUUGGUCAAUGGGCGAGAGCCUGAACCAGCCAAGUCGCGUGAAGGAUGACGGCCCUACGGGUUGUAAACUUCUUUUGUCAGGGAGCAAUUGGGUCCACGCGUGGGCUUAGCGAGAGUACCUGAAGAAAAAGCAUCGGCUAACUCCGUGCCAGCAGCCGCGGUAAUACGGAGGAUGCGAGCGUUAUCCGGUUUUAUUGGGUUUAAGGGGUGCGUAGGCGGAAUAUCAAGUCAGCGGUAAAAAUUCGGGGCUCAACCCCGUCGUGCCGUUGAAACUGAUGGUCUUGAGUGGGCUAGAGGUAUGCGGAAUGCGUGGUGUAGCGGUGAAAUGCAUAGAUAUCACGCAGAACUCCGAUUGCGAAGGCAGCAUACCGGCGCCCAACUGACGCUGAAGCACGAAAGCGUGGGUAUCGAACAGGAUUAGAUACCCGGGUAGUC
RNAcentral lists this ribosomal RNA (460 nucleotides) under uncultured bacterium. Its description in RNAcentral is "partial 16S ribosomal RNA". It matches the Rfam family "Bacterial small subunit ribosomal RNA", at positions 338 to 795 of the family's 1533-position model. The record is from RNAcentral.